This is an RNA transcript of Dermacentor albipictus, 2191 nucleotides long. It is a transcript of the gene named galactosylceramide sulfotransferase-like, with no coding region annotated. The record is from RefSeq and is a predicted model, not a curated record. Lineage: Eukaryota; Metazoa; Arthropoda; Arachnida; Ixodida; Ixodidae.
CUUAUCACGCCGACGUCGCGAAAGAGCACGCGUCAGUGCAGCCGCCGUUGCGGCUACUUGCGUGAUGUUGCCUACAAUCGAGCAGCGGUGGACGCCGGCGACAUGCACUAAAAUGAAAGCUAAUGUGAAUAUAAGCAAAACAACAAUGAAAACGGGUCUUCGUUCCUUCUCAGUGCCGCGGUUUGAUGCCCUGCGGCCGCCCGCUACUGCACGACAGCGCCAUGUGUGCUGGACUACCAGCGGUGCACGCUCCCCUUCGUCGCGACCGUCAGCAGCAGAGCAACCGAACGGUGUGCUAGAAAUUUAUCGAGCGGGGUGAGGCCCGCGUGAUAGUGAAGGUGAAGUCAGGCGUCACGCGGGGCCUCUCGUGACAUUACAGCUUCAAUUAGUGGUAUUUAUUACGCCGCCAUUUCGCAUGUCAGAGCCGCCGUGCAGCCCUGGAGCCCCUUCGACCACGGAGAAAGGUGUUGCAAGUCAUAGUGCACGCGACUGUACAUCUACAUCUACAAGUGUUCCAUUCGAAGCCACCAAGUUCGUGACGCCACAGUGGGUUUGCGCCAUUGAUUAAGAGAUCAUCAUCACUAUCAACAGCACCAGAAGAAGAAGAGUUGACCAGCUGCUGUUACCGUGAGUUCCGGAUCGCUUAAUGGCUAUGCGCCGCCGCCGUCAUGCGCUUGUUGCAUCCGUACUGAUUGCGGCCUUGUUCCUCCUCUUGAGACCGACCAAGUUAAAAAGAACUGCCUUCAGCGCCACUGGAAGGUCUUGGUGGGCAAAGCUGCAGUUCUUCCACGGGCGCCUGGCAUCGUCCUGCACGCCGAGGCACACCGUGUUCUUCCUGAAGACGCACAAGUGCGCCAGCUCGACGGUGCAGAAUUUGCUGGUGCGCUACGGCGAACGGCACGGGCUGACGUUCGCGCUGCCUCCGUCCGGCGUCUACCUGGGCCACCCGGACUUUCUCAACAGAACUAUGGCGCAGGGCACGCCCCCGUUCGACAUGCUGGUGCACCAUACGCGAUUCGAGGAGGUCGAGGCGCGGGCCCUGCUUAAGCCGGACCCCGUCUUCGUGACUAUCGUGCGAGAACCUGCGUCGCUUUUCGAGUCGCUCUAUUCGUUCAACGACCUCGAGAAAACGUAUAACGUCAGACUGGAGGAGCUGCAGAAUGCCACCAAAAACGCCUCAUUGGUCAAGAAGAUAUUUCGUACCCUACCUGGUCGGAGCGGAGGUAGCCUGGGCUUUAACCAAAUGAGCUACGACCUGGGCUUCGAUAUCGAGCAAUCGCAGAACGACAGCGCUGUGAGACACUUCAUCGAGCGAGUGGACGCCGUGUUCGACUUGGUGAUGGUGGCCGAGCGUAUGAACGAGUCCCUAGUUCUUCUGCGUCACUUGCUUUGCUGGGAUGUGAACGAUGUCAUCGUGUUCAAGCUCAACGCGCGACAGAGCGACUUCCGGCGUUCGCUGAGCGCAGAGCUAACGGCCGAGCUACGGGCUCUGAACUCGGUGGACACGCUCCUCUACGAGUACUUCACGCAGCGCUUUGAGCGGCACGUUGAGGCAUUUGGCCGGCUUCGCAUGAAGAAGGAAGUAUAUCUUCUGGAGCGGCGGAUGAGCUUCUGGUACCAGCGCUGCGUGGGAGAGACCAUAUCUACAAAUAACACCAAGAUCAGCAUCACACGUAAGGUGCUGUUAUUGAAACCAAGGAAUGCAAGCGCGUACGUGUGCAAACGCAUGACUGAACCUGAGUUGCUGAUCACGAAACGGCUACGCAAGAAGAAACGAACCGUCGGAGCUGUGGCGCGCUUCUUACGAUGGAUAAUAUAGAAUUCACAUACGCUGACAGUUCUUUCGCAUGCUCACGCUGGCCCAAAGCACGUUCUUGAUCCCUCCUUCGCCCGCCAAGCCUCCACGUGACUUCAUAGGGACGACAGGCUGCGCCGGAGCUCUGCGUCAUGGCUGUCAUCACGUGUCCGCGGAGCCCCUUGCCUGUUGGACCGAGAAAAUAACACAGCAGUAGACACCGAAAUCGGCGAGACUGGCGAGCGCUGGACAUGACAAGACUGCGAGCCAUGGUGCACAACGAAGGAAGGGUCUAGGGCAAACAUUUCAUUCCUAUUCUUUGUCACGACCUGUCUUUGUUUGCCACACGACCUUGGCAAACGUCUCAGUCGUAACACGCCUGCUUCCAAGCGAAUC